GACGAACGCUGGCGGCGUGCCUAAUACAUGCAAGUUGAGCGCUGAAGGUUGGUACUUGUACCAACUGGAUGAGCAGCGAACGGGUGAGUAACGCGUGGGGAAUCUGCCUUUGAGCGGGGACAACAUUUGGAAACGAAUGCUAAUACCCCAUUAAAACUUUAAACACAAGUUUUAAGUUUUAAAGAUGCAAUUUCAUCACUUAAAGAUGAUUCCGCGUUGUAUUAGCUAGUUGGGGGGGUAAAGGCUCACCAAGGCGAUGAUACAUAGCCGACCUGAGAGGGGGAUCGGCCACAUUGGGACUGAGACACGGCCCAAACUCCUACGGGAGGCAGCAGUAGGGAAUCUUCGGCAAUGGACGAAAGUCUGACCGAGCAACGCCGCGUGAGUGAAGAAGGUUUUCGGAUCGUAAAACUCUGUUGGUAGAGAAGAACGUUGGUGAGAGUGGAAAGCUCAUCAAGUGACGGUAACUACCCAGAAAGGGACGGCUAACUACGUG
This 496-nucleotide ribosomal RNA is filed under the name uncultured bacterium. Its description in RNAcentral is "partial 16S ribosomal RNA". It matches the Rfam family "Bacterial small subunit ribosomal RNA", at positions 28 to 507 of the family's 1533-position model. The record is from RNAcentral.